CAAAGAUUAAGCCAUGCAUGUCUAAGUAUAAGCAACUAUACGGUGAAACUGCGAAUGGCUCAUUAAAUCAGUUAUCGUUUAUUUGAUAGUACCCUACUACAUGGAUAACCGUGGUAAUUCUAGAGCUAAUACAUGCUAAAAACCCCGACUUCGGAAGGGGUGUAUUUAUUAGAUAAAAAACCAAUGCCCUUCGGGGCUCCUUGGUGAAUCAUAAUAACUUAACGAAUCGCAUGGCCUUGCGCCGGCGAUGGUUCAUUCAAAUUUCUGCCCUAUCAACUUUCGAUGGUAGGAUAGUGGCCUACCAUGGUUUCAACGGGUAACGGGGAAUUAGGGUUCGACUCCGGAGAGGGAGCCUGAGAAACGGCUACCACAUCCAAGGAAGGCAGCAGGCGCGCAAAUUACCCAAUCCCGACACGGGGAGGUAGUGACAAUAAAUACUGAUCCAGGGCUCUUUCGGGUCUUGGAAUUGGAAUGAGUACAAUUUAAAUCCCUUAACGAGGAACAAUUGGAGGGCA
RNAcentral lists this ribosomal RNA (515 nucleotides) under melanized limestone ascomycete CR-2004. RNAcentral's name for it is "SSU rRNA". It matches the Rfam family "Eukaryotic small subunit ribosomal RNA", at positions 38 to 557 of the family's 1831-position model. Lineage: Eukaryota; Fungi; Ascomycota. The record is from RNAcentral.